UGUCCCAGCCGCCGCGGUAAUACAGAGGGUGCAAGCGUUAAUCGGAUUUACUGGGCGUAAAGCGCGCGUAGGCGGCUAAUUAAGUCAAAUGUGAAAUCCCCGAGCUUAACUUGGGAAUUGCAUUCGAUACUGGUUAGCUAGAGUGUGGGAGAGGAUGGUAGAAUUCCAGGUGUAGCGGUGAAAUGCGUAGAGAUCUGGAGGAAUACCGAUGGCGAAGGCAGCCAUCUGGCCUAACACUGACGCUGAGGUGCGAAAGCAUGGGGAGCAAACAGGAUUAGAUACCCUGGUAGUCCAUGCCGUAAACGAUGUCUACUAGCCGUUGGGGCCUUUGAGGCUUUAGUGGCGCAGCUAACGCGAUAAGUAGACCGCCUGGGGAGUACGGUCGCAAGACUAAAACUCAAAUGAAUUGACGGGGGCCCGCACAAGCGGUGGAGCAUGUGGUUUAAUUCGAUGCAACGCGAAGAACCUUACCUGGCCUUGACAUAGUAAGAACUUUCCAGAGAUGGAUUGGUGCCUUCGGGAACUUACAUACAGGUGCUGCAUGGCUGUCGUCAGCUCGUGUCGUGAGAUGUUGGGUUAAGUCCCGCAACGAGCGCAACCCUUUUCCUUAUUUGCCAGCGAGUAAUGUCGGGAACUUUAAGGAUACUGCCAGUGACAAACUGGAGGAAGGCGGGGACGACGUCAAGUCAUCAUGGCCCUUACGGCCAGGGCUACACACGUGCUACAAUGGUCGGUACAAUGGGUUGCUACCUAGCGAUAGGAUGCUAAUCUCAAAAAGCCGAUCGUAGUCCGGAUUGGAGUCUGCAACUCGACUCCAUGAAGUCGGAAUCGCUAGUAAUCGCGGAUCAGAAUGCCGCGGUGAAUACGUUCCCGGGCCUUGUACACACCGCCCGUCACACCAUGGGAGUUUGUUGCACCAGAAGUAGCUAGCCUAACUGCAAAGAG
RNAcentral lists this ribosomal RNA (945 nucleotides) under uncultured Acinetobacter sp. RNAcentral's name for it is "bacterial SSU rRNA". It matches the Rfam family "Bacterial small subunit ribosomal RNA", at positions 504 to 1448 of the family's 1533-position model. The record is from RNAcentral. Lineage: Bacteria; Pseudomonadati; Pseudomonadota; Gammaproteobacteria; Moraxellales; Moraxellaceae.